RNAcentral lists this long non-coding RNA (368 nucleotides) under Solanum lycopersicum (tomato). RNAcentral describes it as "long non-coding RNA (SLYC_LNC000256)". Lineage: Eukaryota; Viridiplantae; Streptophyta; Magnoliopsida; Solanales; Solanaceae. The record is from RNAcentral.
CCGUUCAAAAAAACCGGCGGUUCAACAUUUUGAUACUCAUUUUCCGGUUCGCCGCCUUCUGCUUCUCACUCGCCUCUGCAAUUUUCAUGUUCGCUAACUCUCACGGCGGUGGCUCUGAUUCCGAUUCCGAUUCUCUUCGGUGGUACCACUUCGAUGCGUUCAGGUACUACUACUAUUAGCUCUUUCUAUUUUCUAAAAAAAAAAGUAUCAAAUUGAACUAAAUUAAACAUAUUUGCAAAAUUCAAUUAGCUGAUAAAACUACCUUAAUUUGAGAAUUUUAGAUGAAAUUUCUUCGAUUCCUUCUUCUCCCUUCACUUAUCUCAUCUCGACGAGGAUGAGUCAAAGCAGGACUAACAAAUUUCUAAGGA